This is a non-coding RNA of Pelobates cultripes (western spadefoot toad), 167 nucleotides long. The record is from the annotation of a GenBank genome assembly. Lineage: Eukaryota; Metazoa; Chordata; Amphibia; Anura; Pelobatidae.
CUGAACACAAAUAUUAGUGUUUCAAAACAGUAAAACAUAUCACAGCGAUGAUAUUGUCAGUGAAAGUGAAGUUUUUUGCAUUUUUUUACACCUAAACGGCACUUUUACUGAUGAUAUCAUUGUCGUGAUAUAUUUUACUGUUUUGAAACACUAAUAUUUGUGUUCAG